Fukomys damarensis (Damara mole-rat) is the source of this 298-nucleotide unclassified non-coding RNA. Its record names the gene 7SK. It matches the Rfam family "7SK RNA". Rfam says of the family: 7SK was discovered as an abundant small nuclear RNA in the mid-70s but a possible function has only recently been suggested. Lineage: Eukaryota; Metazoa; Chordata; Mammalia; Rodentia; Bathyergidae. The record is from Ensembl.
GGAUGUCAGGGCGAUCUGGCUAGGACAUCUGUCACCUCACCGAUCACCAGGACUGAUUCGGCUGAUCAGGCUGGCUAGACCGGUGUCCCUUUCCUCCCACACCACUCCAUGUGUAACCCUCCCGAAGCUGUGUGCUUGGUCGGAUAGAGGAGGACCAUUUCCUAGGUCAAGGGUAUACAAGUAGCUGCGCUCCCCUACUAGAACCUCCAAAUAAGCUCUCAAGAAAGUAUUGGACCUAAUCCAGCAAGAAACUAAAAAAACAAGAAAAGCAAAACAUACAAUUAUUGUACCAUUGUCU